GUGAAUCAUCAAAUUUUUGAACGCGAAUUGCACUCUCUUCGGAGAGUAUGCCUGUUUGAGGGUCAGCCUAAAAAAAAUCGACAUAGUUGCUGUUCCGCGGUGACAUUCGUCGGAAAUUGGGUCAUCUUAAACCUUUGGGUUUUAAGCGGCUUAAAAUUUUCUUUACGAUUCCACGAACGUUUCUAAGAUUUUAUUUCUUACCCGUUUAAGUUAUCGUCUUUUAUUGACGUUGGC
Molecule: unclassified non-coding RNA, 234 nt
Filed under: Glomus sp.
Lineage: Eukaryota; Fungi; Glomeromycota; Glomeromycetes; Glomerales; Glomeraceae
Description: partial contains 5.8S ribosomal RNA and internal transcribed spacer 2
Rfam family: 5.8S ribosomal RNA (bases 1-65)
Source: RNAcentral